GGGCCUGUAGCUCAGCUGGGAGAGCGCUUGCAUGGCAUGCAAGAGGUCCAGGGUUCGAUUCCCUGCAGGUCCACCC
Molecule: transfer RNA, 76 nt
Filed under: Elusimicrobiota bacterium
Lineage: Bacteria; Pseudomonadati; Elusimicrobiota
Description: Elusimicrobia bacterium (groundwater metagenome) tRNA-Ala
Rfam family: tRNA
About the family: Transfer RNA (tRNA) molecules are approximately 80 nucleotides in length. Their secondary structure includes four short double-helical elements and three loops (D, anti-codon, and T loops).
Source: RNAcentral